AAAAGAUGGCGGCAGCCUAAUACAUGCAAGUCGAGCGGACUUGAUGAGAAGCUUGCUUCUCAGAUAGUUAGCGGCGGACGGGUGAGUAACACGUAGGCAACCUGCCCUCAAGCUUGGGACAACUACCGGAAACGGUAGCUAAUACCGAAUACUUGCUUUCUUCGCCUGAAGAAAGCUGGAAAGACGGAGCAAUCUGUCACUUGGGGAUGGGCCUGCGGCGCAUUAGCUAGUUGGUGAGGUAACGGCUCACCAAGGCGACGAUGCGUAGCCGACCUGAGAGGGUGAUCGGCCACACUGGGACUGAGACACGGCCCAGACUCCUACGGGAGGCAGCAGUAGGGAAUCUUCCGCAAUGGGCGAAAGCCUGACGGAGCAAUGCCGCGUGAGUGAUGAAGGUUUUCGGAUCGUAAAGCUCUGUUGCCAGGGAAGAACGCUUGGGAGAGUAACUGCUCUCAAGGUGACGGUACCUGAGAAGAAAGCCCCGGCUAACUACGUGCCAGCAGCCGCGGUAAUACGUAGGGGGCAAGCGUUGUCCGGAAUUAUUGGGCGUAAAGCGCGCGCAGGCGGUCAUGUAAGUCUGGUGUUUAAUCCCGGGGCUCAACCCCGGAUCGCACUGGAAACUGGGUGACUUGAGUGCAGAAGAGGAGAGUGGAAUUCCACGUGUAGCGGUGAAAUGCGUAGAUAUGUGGAGGAACACCAGUGGCGAAAGCGACUCUCUGGGCUGUAACUGACGCUGAGGCGCGAAAGCGUGGGGAGCAAACAGGAUUAGAUACCCUGGUAGUCCACGCCGUAAACGAUGAGUGCUAGUGUUAGGGGUUUCGAUACCCUUGGUGCCGAAGUUAACACAUUAAGCACUCCGCCUGGGGGAGUACGGUCGCAGACUGAAACUCAAAAGAAUUGACGGGACCCGCCACAAGCAGUGGAGUAUGUGGUUAAUUCGAAGCACGCGGAGACUUACAGUCUGACAUCUGAUGACGUGCAGAGAUGUGCUUCGUCGGACAUCCAGGACCGUUGUUGCAUGCUUGUCGUCCAGCUCGUGUCCUGAAUGGUAGGCUUAGUCCGCAACGAGCGCAAUCAUGACUAGCUGCCAGUGAAUCGAUGCACGUAACGGUACUGCCGUGACAAUCCG
RNAcentral lists this ribosomal RNA (1129 nucleotides) under Paenibacillus amylolyticus. RNAcentral's name for it is "bacterial SSU rRNA". It matches the Rfam family "Bacterial small subunit ribosomal RNA", at positions 31 to 1165 of the family's 1533-position model. Lineage: Bacteria; Bacillati; Bacillota; Bacilli; Caryophanales; Paenibacillaceae. The record is from RNAcentral.